This 432-nucleotide ribosomal RNA is filed under the name uncultured bacterium. RNAcentral describes it as "partial 16S ribosomal RNA". It matches the Rfam family "Bacterial small subunit ribosomal RNA", at positions 28 to 506 of the family's 1533-position model. The record is from RNAcentral.
GACGAACGCUGGCGGCAUGCUUAACACAUGCAAGUCGAGCGGACACUCCCUUCUUUUGUGCGGACGGCUGGUUGACACGUGGGGACGUACCCUUUGGUACGCUCUCCCUCUCUUACGCUUACCCUAAUGCCACAUGGGCUCUUUUCGGGAAGGAUGUGCUGCUGCAUGAUCGGCCGUCGUCUGAUUAGCUGGUUGGGGGGGUACUGGCGUACCAAGGCGAUGAUUAUGAGGUGGUCUCUGAGGAUGAUCAGCACUACUGGGACGGCGACACGGCCCAGACUGUUAGGGGAGGCAGAAGUGGGGAAGAUAGGACAAUGGGCGCGAGCCUGAUCCAGCCAUGCCGGGUGAGUGAUGAAGGAGUUAGGGUUGUAAAGCUCUUUUGGCCGGGACGAUAAGGACGGUACCGGAAGAAUAAGCCCCGCCUAACUUCGU